Molecule: long non-coding RNA, 751 nt
Filed under: Panax ginseng (ginseng)
Lineage: Eukaryota; Viridiplantae; Streptophyta; Magnoliopsida; Apiales; Araliaceae
Description: long non-coding RNA (PGIN_LNC018729)
Source: RNAcentral
AACGAUAUGAUGUGAAAUUUGUGUAAAGAAAGAAAAGAAGAAUAAUCUAUACACAUGCUUGGUGAUAAGAAGACCUAAGAGCAAAUCUUUUCAAUUGAAGAGCGGUGACGCGAUUGAAGAACACCAACAAUGGGAGAAGAACACCAAACUCAGAAAAAUGCAAGAAACAAACCCAUAACAGAAAUACAAACCCAAACAAAAACCCCAAAUCCAUAAAUCAUUAAAAAAAUCAAAUCCAUAACUUCAACUACUAAAUAUGGUGUUUGUGAUUAAAUAUUCAUCACAUCCAAAAAAAUACUCAUGUGGUCGCAAUACCUACUUUGCCUAAUUCAAAUGGCUAAAGCAAUUAAGAUGUGUCCGAUCAUGAUGGUGUCAUUUUUCAACAACAAAAUGGUGCAGCAAUAUCAAUACAUGUAUCAAACCCAAAUUGAUCCAGAUCAAAUCCAUGCUCGAAUCCAGUCUAAUUAACAAACCGAAAUCAAAUCCAGAUCUUCAAAUGUAAGAUCAAACUCAAAUCGUGCCCUUGAUUUAAGCAUCCAUUGUGAUCGGGACCAAAACCAGUCGCAUCAAUCGUAGAUCUAGGUUUGAACCUUCGAGAUCUUUCACAAAAAUUCGCCAUAAUUCGAGGAUCCUUGGGUUGAUAAUGAAGAUGAAGAUUAAAUGAAAAUGAAUGAGAUGAAGAUGGAGAUUUAAGAUUUUCAUUAUGUUUUGGUUUGAUGAACGAAAUGAGAUGGAAACUAUUAAAUCAAUU